This 516-nucleotide ribosomal RNA is filed under the name uncultured bacterium. Its description in RNAcentral is "partial 16S ribosomal RNA". It matches the Rfam family "Bacterial small subunit ribosomal RNA", at positions 29 to 523 of the family's 1533-position model. The record is from RNAcentral.
AACGAACGCUGGCGGCGUGGAUAAGACAUGCAAGUCGAGCGGAUUACUUUCUGUAGCAAUACAGGGAGUAGUCAGCGGCGCAAGGGUGCGUAACACGUGGGCAACCUGCCCGGAAGUGGGGGAUAGCUCGCCGAAAGGCGAAUUAAUACCGCAUGUGGCUAGAGGUGACAUCACCUUGAGGCCAAAGUUGGGGCAACCUGACGCUUCUGGAUGGGCCCGCGGCCUAUCAGCUAGUUGGUGAGGUCACGGCUCACCAAGGCGAUGACGGGUAGCGGGUCUGAGAGGACGACCAGCCACACUGGAACUGAGACACGGUCCAGACACCUAAGGGUGGAAGCAGUCGAGAAUUUUUCUCAAUGGGGGAAACCCUGAAGGAGCGACGCCGCGUGGAGGAUGAAGGUCUUCGGAUUGUAAACUCCUGUCAUUGGUGAACAAAGCCCUCGGAGUAACUGCCGUUGGGUUUGAUAGUAGCCGAAGAGGAAGAGACGGCUAACUCUGUGCCAGCCGCCGCCGUAA